AUAUGAAUCAUUACUCCUUACCCAGGCAGUAAUGUUCCCGAAGUUUUCUCUUCGUUCUAUGUUUCAUGGUAGUUUAACCUUAUUAACUCUUCUGCAGGCUUUUUGUACACUUAAGAAAACUCUUUAACUCUUGUUGUUUACUUUUUUUCUGGAGCUGGAGGAGGGAAUGAUAUUCAGUGGUGUUUUUCUCAGGUGAAAGGAGCAGUAGAUGAUGAUGUAGCAGAAGCAGAUAUAAUUUCUACAGUAGAAUUUAAUCAUUCUGGAGAAUUACUAGCAACAGGAGAUAAAGGUGGUAGAGUUGUCAUCUUUCAACAGGAGCAGGAGCGCCUUUGACCUGAGGAUCUCAAAGUGCUUUACAAACACUAAUGAAUUAAUCCUCACAACACCCCAGUGAGAACAAAAUCCAGUCUCAUAGCAGAGGAGAAUAUAAUGUUUACAGCACCUUCCAGAGCCAUGAACCAGAGUUUGACUACUUGAAAAGUUUAGAAAUAGAAGAAAAGAUCAACAAAAUUAGGUGGUUACCCCAGAAAAAUGCUGCUCAGUUUUUAUUGUCUACCAAUGAUAAAACAAUAAAA
Molecule: small RNA, 575 nt
Filed under: Pan troglodytes (chimpanzee)
Lineage: Eukaryota; Metazoa; Chordata; Mammalia; Primates; Hominidae
Description: processed transcript
Source: RNAcentral